Hordeum vulgare subsp. vulgare (domesticated barley) is the source of this 2069-nucleotide long non-coding RNA. RefSeq lists it as uncharacterized. The record is from RefSeq and is a predicted model, not a curated record. The transcript is spliced from 3 exons. Lineage: Eukaryota; Viridiplantae; Streptophyta; Magnoliopsida; Poales; Poaceae.
UUUAAAAAAAUGGUUAACACAAUCGCUUCCGCUCCAUCCCCGACCCCGCGGCCCUAGGCGUGUCGCCGCCGCCGCCGCCAGUCCCUGGAACCUCUCGAUCACAACCUGUGUUGUCAUCAUUUCCACAUAUCCCCGAGAGAUCAGGCCUCGCCCGACGAUGCAGAUUAGUGACGCUGCAUCGCGACCGAUUGGAGUUCAUCCGCUGUCAUUCAGGCGUGGACUAAGGCAGACGUUCCACGACGAUUAAUGGCUGCCGGGGCUGAUGGUGGAAUUGUAGCCGCUCCUCCUCUUGCACACCAUGGAUUUGAUGCGGUUCCUCACGAUCCGGCAGUUCAUCACAUAUCUUCCUGCACCGCGGGGAUGAAGCAGCCGACGGGAAGCAGAGUAAGCCUGAGUCCUCCUCCUCGUGGAUCUCGUUCUUGACCUCGAUGAGAGGAGCAUCUUCAGCCUCGAUGCAGGUUUUUACUUCUCCAGCCAUGGUGCGACUCAGUUUGAUUGCUUUGAAGUUAUCUUGCACUUUAUAUUCCGGUAUAUUGGUUUACGGAAUUUUUCAGCUGACGAAAAACACGCUAUCGUUCUCAUGUAGCAGAGUCUCCGCCCAUACCGUCUAUGAUGUAUCCUCCAGUAUUGCUGAGUUGCUUUUAGAAGUACAACAUGCCAUAAAUUCCAAUCAGAUUUAUUAUAUCAUCCAUUUCAUUCUCUCUCGACUCCUUAGUACAUAAAAUGCAUGUACACCUCCACCUUAUGUGUAGAUGGAAGGAAAUCGGCCAGUUCAUGUUAAUUCCUUGGAGAUAACACACAUGAACAAACCCUCUGAUUAAUUGGGUCAUGAGUUUAUGGCGCAUAUCAGGUGGUUCACAGGGAACAUGAUGCAGCUAGAUGCAAUGACCUCCCGUGAAGCCUGCACCGUCUCCGUCUCGAUAUUUUCCUUGAUUUUUUUGGGAGGCAAACUGAUUGAAGUUCAUUAGAUUAACACUUACAUUUUUGCUGCGUGCUGUUAUGUGCAAAUGCCAUGUAAAUUUAAGAACAUGACCUCUAUGAUACGUUUUUUGUUGUUGUUGUCGGUAGUAGGUAAAAUUUCUCCAUCUCCUGUAACCUCUAUUUUCGCAUAUCCAUGGAAAAGAGAACCGUUUUCUUGCCUCUUGUUCGUGUUAACCUCUAUUUUCACACUGCCAUCCCUCUCUCUCUCUCUCUUUUGUCCUGCUUGUAGCAAUAGACUUGCACUGAAUGGAUUGAUCCUUUUUCUUUGGUAUGAACAGAUAGAACAAAUGCCUGUUUUCACUCUCUCAUCUCAGGAACUGAUGCAUCAGUUCAGUCCUUGUUUUUGCCUCUUCCUUCCUGCUGGUGACAACAUAUGCUUAACUUCGGUUUCUGUAUAUUUUCUAUUGGGCCCCUUUUCAAGUGAUGGUGCAAAUGUUGACAAAUAUAAUAAAUUAUGAUGUGAAUUGAAAUACAAACUUCUCAGCAUUGUCUCAGAUUUAUUUUGUCAAUGAUGAAAUAACUAUAGUUCUAUAUGUGCACAUGUUGUUCUAGGUUGUAUCUUUUUCACUUGCAAAGCUCACCGAGCAAAGGUGGGAAAUUAUCGAGCUCUGUCCCACGUGUAAAAAAGCAUAUCGCUGCCAUAAGGCUAACAUCAUGUAUAGCUAUCCAUACAAUUACUAAAUUUGUGUAGCAAUCCGCCCCAUAUGAACAACUUAUAAAAUUACAUUUCCCUUCUUUAUGCUCCAUAGGGUGGGAGAAUUGAUUUGUUGCUCCAAUGGAGAAUAACAGCCGAGGGAUUUGUGCAGUUUGAUCUCAACAAGGUAAUAAUGUCGCUCCAAGCCUCCAACCAUGCCGGAACCAACCCCGCACGCAGGUUUGAAGUGACACAUGUAUGUCAUGGCAUGCAAUCUCUAGAUAUAUGUAUGUUAUUUUAAUUCUCAAUGUUAACCAUCUUUGUUUCUCCCCAAAUAUGUAUGUGUCAAGUUAUGCAAUUACAUACAACCUUUGACCGGGACUAAUAUUUUGAUCAAAUAUGUCCGGUCUAUAUUGAGGCAUUUUAAUUUUAAAACAUUCUCAUAUUUGUACCA